Molecule: ribosomal RNA, 637 nt
Filed under: Microbacteriaceae bacterium Se1Pt_309
Lineage: Bacteria; Bacillati; Actinomycetota; Actinomycetes; Micrococcales; Microbacteriaceae
Description: bacterial SSU rRNA
Rfam family: Bacterial small subunit ribosomal RNA
Source: RNAcentral
AAGCCUGAUGCAGCAACGCCGCGUGAGGGACGAAGGCCUAUCGGGUUGUAAACCUCUUUUAGUAGGGAAGAAGCGAAAGUGACGGUACCUGCAGAAAAAGCACCGGCUAACUACGUGCCAGCAGCCGCGGUAAUACGUAGGGUGCAAGCGUUGUCCGGAAUUAUUGGGCGUAAAGAGCUCGUAGGCGGUUUGUCGCGUCUGCUGUGAAAACUGGAGGCUCAACCUCCAGCCUGCAGUGGGUACGGGCAGACUAGAGUGCGGUAGGGGAGAUUGGAAUUCCUGGUGUAGCGGUGGAAUGCGCAGAUAUCAGGAGGAACACCGAUGGCGAAGGCAGAUCUCUGGGCCGUAACUGACGCUGAGGAGCGAAAGCAUGGGGAGCGAACAGGAUUAGAUACCCUGGUAGUCCAUGCCGUAAACGUUGGGAACUAGAUGUAGGGGCCAUUCCACGGUUUCUGUGUCGCAGCUAACGCAUUAAGUUCCCCGCCUGGGGAGUACGGCCGCAAGGCUAAAACUCAAAGGAAUUGACGGGGGCCCGCACAAGCGGCGGAGCAUGCGGAUUAAUUCGAUGCAACGCGAAGAACCUUACCAAGGCUUGACAUAUACCGGAAACGGCUAGAGAUAGUCGCCCCGCAAGGUC